Molecule: transfer RNA, 92 nt
Filed under: Gammaproteobacteria bacterium
Lineage: Bacteria; Pseudomonadati; Pseudomonadota; Gammaproteobacteria
Description: tRNA-Ser
Rfam family: tRNA
About the family: Transfer RNA (tRNA) molecules are approximately 80 nucleotides in length.
Source: RNAcentral
GGAGAGGUACCGAAGCGGUCAUAACGGCACCGACUCGAAAUCGGUUGAGCCUCGAAAGAGGCACGUGGGUUCGAAUCCCACCCUCUCCGCCA